Molecule: ribosomal RNA, 563 nt
Filed under: uncultured Bacillota bacterium
Lineage: Bacteria; Bacillati; Bacillota
Description: bacterial SSU rRNA
Rfam family: Bacterial small subunit ribosomal RNA
Source: RNAcentral
UUCUACGGGAGGCAGCAGUAGGGAAUCUUCCGCAAUGGGCGAAAGCCUGACGGAGCAACGCCGCGUGAGUGAUGAAGGUCUUCGGAUCGUAAAACUCUGUUAUUAGGGAAGAACAAAUGUGUAAGUAACUAUGCACGUCUUGACGGUACCUAAUCAGAAAGCCACGGCUAACUACGUGCCAGCAGCCGCGGUAAUACGUAGGUGGCAAGCGUUAUCCGGAAUUAUUGGGCGUAAAGCGCGCGUAGGCGGUUUUUUAAGUCUGAUGUGAAAGCCCACGGCUCAACCGUGGAGGGUCAUUGGAAACUGGAAAACUUGAGUGCAGAAGAGGAAAGUGGAAUUCCAUGUGUAGCGGUGAAAUGCGCAGAGAUAUGGAGGAACACCAGUGGCGAAGGCGACUUUCUGGUCUGUAACUGACGCUGAUGUGCGAAAGCGUGGGGAUCAAACAGGAUUAGAUACCCUGGUAGUCCACGCCGUAAACGAUGAGUGCUAAGUGUUAGGGGGUUUCCGCCCCUUAGUGCUGCAGCUAACGCAUUAAGCACUCCGCCUGGGGAGUACGACCGCAA